AUAUCCUUCCCCUUUUGCUCCUGAUUUGACUUCCUCCUUAAUUGCAGAAUGCAGAAUUCUUUUAAAGGGGAGUUUGAAUAUGUGAACACAACAGUAUGAAAUGCUGCAGCUGGAACAGCCCAUUAAUACUGGUGAGAAAAUGUUCCUGGGCAGGACUAUUCCCCAUCAUCUAGGGAGCCACUUUUUUGACUUUGCAUUUGAUCAACUAGGCUUUGAAUUCUUAAGAAUUAGGCAUCAUCUGUGGCCAUAAAUGAAUAGAAGAUAUCAGUGCCUGGAUACUCUUGGGCAGAGGGUAAAGAUGAGGUUGUCUUGUGUUGUAGGAUCUGAUGGUAUGAAUGGCCGCCAAGAUCAAUACCAGGAGAACUGCUGCCAUCCACAUCCACAGACGCAGGUUUGAAUCAAUGGGAACUUCGGAAAUCAUUGCAGACCACUAACAUCAUUGGUGUGACAGACUUCUGAUCACGAGGUGGUCCAAGGAGGAAAGAAAGAAAUUAACAGACAAAAUUCAGAUGAGAACCAGUCUUUUCCUCCUGGAGUCCAGAGAGUUACACAGAUGCUGUCUGAUGAUUGGCUGCUUCGUGGACAUACUUAGCAGUCACAGGUCACAGGGAAUCUGGGACAAUCAUCCUCAUGGAAUGUUCUCAGUAAGGGCAUUGCAGCUGCUGUGUCUCAAAGGACUUAGACCCAAAAGUGGAGUCUUUCAAAAACCCAAGCUCGAGGAGUCCGAGGUGCCAAUGAAGACCCCAAUAUCCAAGGUGCUCAUGAAGAAUGCUAACCGAAUUCAUGGAAUGUGAAGAUAUAAAUGAACGUUGGUAUUUUACAUAUAUGGCUUUACAUACAUACACAGACCUGAGUAAAUUAUAAAAAUGUGUAUUUAAUUAUUUCAUCUAUAUGUCCAAAUGUCUAUAUAUUUAAAUUGGUAAUAAAAAGCUUUAAAGAAAUCUUUUCAGUGAAAAACCAUGGCUGGUCGCCUUAGGUUUGGGUUGCCACCAAAUGGAAAUUUUAUUAAAAUCUAUGUGCUCCUGUUGGAAAUGUGUCAAAUAUUUGAGCAAUAUGUGAGAUAUCAAAUUCAGGGGACUAAGGAAGCUGGUGAAGCACGGUCUGGACCCAGGGUGACCCAGAGACUGGAUUUGGCUCUCGGAAAUGAUUCCUUUGUCCUUCUCAGGUUUUUAUACGUUUGAAGAUUUUGCAUUAAAUAUGGGAAAAUGGAGUCUCAGUAAAAUAAUUGCAGGUGUGGUCACUGAGUCCGCAUUCCCACACAGCAGUGAUCCAAUGGAAGUGAGGACAAACACCAACCGCUUUGGGCAGGGCAUGUGCCACUCACUUUGCCGCAGUCCCCACCACU
Molecule: long non-coding RNA, 1345 nt
Filed under: Canis lupus familiaris (dog)
Lineage: Eukaryota; Metazoa; Chordata; Mammalia; Carnivora; Canidae
Description: lncRNA (ENSCAFG00040022580.1)
Source: RNAcentral